AUCAGAAGACUGAAAUUCCGAAAGCACAACUGCCCUACCCAAGGUCACACAGGGAGAAUCAGGAUAGGACAUUCAGCUGAAGACCCUGAUAAAUGGACCAACUGGAAAUGCCACUCUUCAGUACAACCUCUUGGAGAUGAUGUUGACUUCCCUGGAAAAUAGUGACAUUGUGUUUAACACAGCAGAAAGAUUCAUCAGAUUGCAGGUGCCUGAAGCAUUCUCCUGAGGAUGAUAGAAUCCCUUCAGGUCAGCCAGGAAGGUGACCUAGAAACACACAACUUCAGUCAGGGAAGCUGGCUCUCCAGGGCCUCAAGCUCAGCUAGCACUGUUUCCAUGACAACCACCAGGUCUGAUGCUUGGCCUUGAAUUGGGGCCUUGGCUGGUCCAGAGAAACAAUGUUUGGGAUGGAGAGAUGGAGAGGGACAGAACAUUUUCUACUAACUUGAAGGCCUUUCAACCCAUCUUUAUCUACUUAUCACUCCACUCAUUCCAGCAAAAAAGAGUCUAUCCUCCAGUAAACCACACUUUAAGUGCCAUUUGCUCAGCACAAAGACCUCUCACCCAUGGCUGGAUACAUUUCUGGAAACUGGAGGCAGAAUGCUAUAACAGGAAUGUUCUGAGAAUUACUGCAACAGUACCUACAAAGCCUUCAGGCUCUUUUGAAGAAAGAUACACUAGCCAUCCUGUGCUGUUACCGAGGGGCACUGUCAUGAUGAUAUAUUUUAAAAACAUUCUUCACUUGUAUUACUAAAAUAAACUCAGUUCACAGUAAACUAGAUCGGCCAAUAACCUGAUUUGCUUCUCUGGCUCUGGUGCUGCAUUUGCCUCUUACUCCCACUCAUCUUGCACUGUGAACAACAGCGGUCAGUGUCACCCUUGACUCCUAUGCAGAGACCCAUGGUGAGAGCUGGGAAGGACUGUAAAGACCAUUUAUCUAUGUCUUCCCAUCACAUAUAUGAGGCAACUGAAACACAGGGCCAGUGCUUUCCCCAAAGUCAUCUCAUUAGUGAAAACUCAAGACUCUGAUCUUCCGACCCUUCAUUCUGUGUCUCACCGAACCAUGAAAAGAAAGUAAUAAAGAGAAGAGGAAGGAAAAGAAAUACAGAAACAUAUAUUUUUGUCCUUUAAGCCUUUCAACUACUGCUCUGUGCAAUACUCAAGGAUGAAAAAGUAAGUAAGGGAAAAACCAAUACUUCACGAGUGCCUAUUAUGCACAGAGGCCCCAUAUUAGCUAUUUAUAAUUAAUUAAUUUAAUUGGAAGCUAAUUACUUUACAAUAUUGUGGUGGUUUCUGCCAUAUAUCAACACAAAUCAGCCAUGGGUGCAUGUGUGUCCCCUCAUCCUGAACUCCCCUCCCACCUCCAUCCCCACUCCAUCCCUCUGGGUUAUCCCAGAGCACUAGCUUUGAGUAUCCUGUUUCAUGCAUCAAACUUGCACUGGUCAUCUAUUUUACAUAUGGUAAUAUAC
This 1466-nucleotide long non-coding RNA is filed under the name Capra hircus (goat). RNAcentral describes it as "lncRNA (ENSCHIG00010009068.1)". The record is from RNAcentral. Lineage: Eukaryota; Metazoa; Chordata; Mammalia; Artiodactyla; Bovidae.